Non-coding RNA from Lupinus albus (white lupine), 412 nucleotides. NCBI's taxonomy places the organism in Eukaryota, Viridiplantae, Streptophyta, Magnoliopsida, Fabales, Fabaceae. The record is from the annotation of a GenBank genome assembly.
AAGCUACCCUGCAAUACUACAAUAAUUCUUACUCCAUUAUUACGUUAAAUGGAUAAUAAUAUUUGUAUAUUUUAUAUCUAAUCCAAAUAUAUUGACGAUGUAUAAAUCUUUAUAAAAUACAUAAAUAUUACACUAUAAUAAUAUAAUAAUAAUAAAAGAGUGAUUUCAUUAUUCAACCUUUCGUACUUAAUCAAUAAUUUUAACAAAUUUGUAGAAUCUCUCUCUCUCAUAAAUUCACAUACUCCUACUUCUCUGUAAUUAUUUGACUUUAAAUCCUUGGUCGGUUCUUCAACUUGUACGGUUGUGAGUUCUAAAUUCAGGUAUGGCGUCGAAACGCAUCUUGAAGGAGCUCAAGGAUUUGCAGAAGGAUCCUCCCACAUCAUGCAGUGCAGUUUAGCUAGGUGCAAAGAAG